GGGGGCGGGCGGCUACCUGCAGUCGACGGGACCGGGGGCAACUCCGGUUCAGCGGCGGACGGGUGCGUAACACGUGAGGAACAUGACCUUCGGCGGGGGAUAGCCGGCCCAACGGCCGGGUAAUACCGCGUACGACCUUUCGGGGACAUCCCUGGAUGGUGAAAGCAGCAAUGCGCCGAUGGAGUGCCUCGCGGCCUAUCAGCUGGUUGGUGGGGUAACGGCCUACCAAGGCGACGACGGGUAGCUGGUCUGAGAGGAUGGCCAGCCACAUUGGGACUGAGACACGGCCCAGACUCCUACGGGAGGCAGCAGUAGGGAAUCUUCCGCAAUGGACGAAAGUCUGACGGAGCAACGCCGCGUGAACGAUGAAGGCUUUCGGGUCGUAAAGUUCUGUUGUUAGGGAAGAACAAGUACCAGAGUAACUGCUGGUACCUUGACGGUACCUAACCAGAAAGCCACGGCUAACUACGUGCCAGCAGCCGCGGUAAUACGUAGGUGGCAAGCGUUAUCCGGAAUUAUUGGGCGUAAAGCGCUCGCAGGCGGUCUUUUAAGUCUGAUGUGAAAGCCCACGGCUCAACCGUGGAGGGUCAUUGGAAACUGGGAGACUUGAGUGCAGAAGAGGAGAGUGGAAUUCCACGUGUAGCGGUGAAAUGCGUAGAGAUGUGGAGGAACACCAGUGGCGAAGGCGACUCUCUGGUCUGUAACUGACGCUGAGGAGCGAAAGCGUGGGGAGCGAACAGGAUUAGAUACCCUGGUAGUCCACGCCGUANACGAUGAGUGCUAAGUGUUAGAGGGUUUCCGCCCUUUAGUGCUGCAGCAAACGCAUUAAGCACUCCGCCUGGGGAGUACG
RNAcentral lists this ribosomal RNA (850 nucleotides) under uncultured Bacillota bacterium. Its description in RNAcentral is "bacterial SSU rRNA". It matches the Rfam family "Bacterial small subunit ribosomal RNA", at positions 38 to 884 of the family's 1533-position model. The record is from RNAcentral. Lineage: Bacteria; Bacillati; Bacillota.